Molecule: ribosomal RNA, 210 nt
Filed under: Triticum aestivum (bread wheat)
Lineage: Eukaryota; Viridiplantae; Streptophyta; Magnoliopsida; Poales; Poaceae
Description: partial small subunit ribosomal RNA
Source: RNAcentral
AUGGAAGGCUUGCUGCCGUUCCUGUACAGGGCCAUCCUCCUCCACUACAUCGACGGCGGCCGGACGCCCACCGGCGACAGCCCCUUCCCCCGCAGCGACUCGCCAUCAACCUCACGGUCCUAUUACGUCCGCCUCGCCGGCAGCGCCGACGACUUUGGCCGGCUCCGGUUCGCCCCCACUUGUCCCGCCAGCAGCGACGCGCUCCUGUGA